UUAAGCGACUAAGCGUACACGGUGGAUGCCCUGGCAGUCAGAGGCGAUGAAGGACGUGCUAAUCUGCGAUAAGCGUCGGUAAGGUGAUAUGAACCGUUAUAACCGGCGAUUUCCGAAUGGGGAAACCCAGUGUGUUUCGACACACUAUCAUUAACUGAAUCCAUAGGUUAAUGAGGCGAACCGGGGGAACUGAAACAUCUAAGUACCCCGAGGAAAAGAAAUCAACCGAGAUUCCCCCAGUAGCGGCGAGCGAACGGGGAGCAGCCCAGAGUCUGAAUCAGUGUGUGUGUUAGUGGAAGCGUCUGGAAAGGCGCGCGAUACAGGGUGACAGCCCCGUACACAAAAAUGCACAUAUUGUGAGCUCGAUGAGUAGGGCGGGACACGUGGUAUCCUGUCUGAAUAUGGGGGGACCAUCCUCCAAGGCUAAAUACUCCUGACUGACCGAUAGUGAACCAGUACCGUGAGGGAAAGGCGAAAAGAACCCCGGCGAGGGGAGUGAAAAAGAACCUGAAACCGUGUACGUACAAGCAGUGGGAGCACGCUUAGGCGUGUGACUGCGUACCUUUUGUAUAAUGGGUCAGCGACUUAUAUUCUGUAGCAAGGUUAACCGAAUAGGGGAGCCGAAGGGAAACCGAGUCUUAACUGGGCGUUAAGUUGCAGGGUAUAGACCCGAAACCCGGUGAUCUAGCCAUGGGCAGGUUGAAGGUUGGGUAACACUAACUGGAGGACCGAACCGACUAAUGUUGAAAAAUUAGCGGAUGACUUGUGGCUGGGGGUGAAAGGCCAAUCAAACCGGGAGAUAGCUGGUUCUCCCCGAAAGCUAUUUAGGUAGCGCCUCGUGAAUUCAUCUCCGGGGGUAGAGCACUGUUUCGGCAAGGGGGUCAUCCCGACUUACCAACCCGAUGCAAACUGCGAAUACCGGAGAAUGUUAUCACGGGAGACACACGGCGGGUGCUAACGUCCGUCGUGAAGAGGGAAACAACCCAGACCGCCAGCUAAGGUCCCAAAGUCAUGGUUAAGUGGGAAACGAUGUGGGAAGGCCCAGACAGCCAGGAUGUUGGCUUAGAAGCAGCCAUCAUUUAAAGAAAGCGUAAUAGCUCACUGGUCGAGUCGGCCUGCGCGGAAGAUGUAACGGGGCUAAACCAUGCACCGAAGCUGCGGCAGCGACGCUUAUGCGUUGUUGGGUAGGGGAGCGUUCUGUAAGCCUGUGAAGGUGUGCUGUGAGGUAUGCUGGAGGUAUCAGAAGUGCGAAUGCUGACAUAAGUAACGAUAAAGCGGGUGAAAAGCCCGCUCGCCGGAAGACCAAGGGUUCCUGUCCAACGUUAAUCGGGGCAGGGUGAGUCGACCCCUAAGGCGAGGCCGAAAGGCGUAGUCGAUGGGAAACAGGUUAAUAUUCCUGUACUUGGUGUUACUGCGAAGGGGGGACGGAGAAGGCUAUGUUGGCCGGGCGACGGUUGUCCCGGUUUAAGCGUGUAGGCUGGUUUUCCAGGCAAAUCCGGAAAAUCAAGGCUGAGGCGUGAUGACGAGGCACUACGGUGCUGAAGCAACAAAUGCCCUGCUUCCAGGAAAAGCCUCUAAGCAUCAGGUAACAUCAAAUCGUACCCCAAACCGACACAGGUGGUCAGGUAGAGAAUACCAAGGCGCUUGAGAGAACUCGGGUGAAGGAACUAGGCAAAAUGGUGCCGUAACUUCGGGAGAAGGCACGCUGAUAUGUAGGUGAAGCGACUUGCUCGUGGAGCUGAAAUCAGUCGAAGAUACCAGCUGGCUGCAACUGUUUAUUAAAAACACAGCACUGUGCAAACACGAAAGUGGACGUAUACGGUGUGACGCCUGCCCGGUGCCGGAAGGUUAAUUGAUGGGGUCAGCGCAAGCGAAGCUCUUGAUCGAAGCCCCGGUAAACGGCGGCCGUAACUAUAACGGUCCUAAGGUAGCGAAAUUCCUUGUCGGGUAAGUUCCGACCUGCACGAAUGGCGUAAUGAUGGCGAGGCUGUCUCCACCCGAGACUCAGUGAAAUUGAACUCGCUGUGAAGAUGCAGUGUACCCGCGGCAAGACGGAAAGACCCCGUGAACCUUUACUAUAGCUUGACACUGAACAUUGAGCCUUGAUGUGUAGGAUAGGUGGGAGGCUUGGAAGUGUGGACGCCAGUCUGCAUGGAGCCGACCUUGAAAUACCACCCUUUAAUGUUUGAUGUUCUAACGUUGACCCGUAAUCCGGGUUGCGGACAGUGUCUGGUGGGUAGUUUGACUGGGGCGGUCUCCUCCUAAAGAGUAACGGAGGAGCACGAAGGUUGGCUAAUCCUGGUCGGACAUCAGGAGGUUAGUGCAAUGGCAUAAGCCAGCUUGACUGCGAGCGUGACGGCGCGAGCAGGUGCGAAAGCAGGUCAUAGUGAUCCGGUGGUUCUGAAUGGAAGGGCCAUCGCUCAACGGAUAAAAGGUACUCCGGGGAUAACAGGCUGAUACCGCCCAAGAGUUCAUAUCGACGGCGGUGUUUGGCACCUCGAUGUCGGCUCAUCACAUCCCGGGCUGAAGUAGGUCCCAAGGGUAUGGCUGUUCGCCAUUUAAAGUGGUACGCGAGCUGGGUUUAGAACGUCGUGAGACAGUUCGGUCCCUAUCUGCCGUGGGCGCUGGAGAACUGAGGGGGGCUGCUCCUAGUACGAGAGGACCGGAGUGGACGCAUCACUGGUGUUCGGGUUGUCAUGCCAAUGGCACUGCCCGGUAGCUAAAUGCGGAAGAGAUAAGUGCUGAAAGCAUCUAAGCACGAAACUUGCCCCGAGAUGAGUUCUCCCUGACUCCUUGAGAGUCCUGAAGGAACGUUGAAGACGACGACGUUGAUAGGCCGGGUGUGUAAGCGCAGCGAUGCGUUGAGCUAACCGGUACUAAUGAACCGUGAGGCUUAACCU
RNAcentral lists this ribosomal RNA (2900 nucleotides) under Escherichia coli. RNAcentral describes it as "23S ribosomal RNA". It matches the Rfam family "Bacterial large subunit ribosomal RNA". Lineage: Bacteria; Pseudomonadati; Pseudomonadota; Gammaproteobacteria; Enterobacterales; Enterobacteriaceae. The record is from RNAcentral.